CUUUUGUUCCACCCUGGUGUAACACAAGAGUGCCAGUGAGUGUAAACAGCAGCGGUGCAGUAGCACGUGGUGUUUCAGCCUCUCGUUACACCUUUGUGGUCAAGCUCCUGUAAUUAUGGCUUCUCGACAAGUCACAGGGUGAUUUAUGCCCUGAUAACUUCUGCUUUUAAAGGCUGGGCUAAUAAAAGCAGCCUUUGCAAAAACAACUUUUGCGGGAGGUGUGGGGAAACCCACCCAUCAUCGCACUUAGCAGGCAAAGCACCAUCUCAGCAGCGAGGCCGGGGGCGCCUUCCUCGCCAUCCUCAUCUGCACCCCAAGGGAUGUGGUGCUGGGAGGAUGGGUGGGAGGAAAGCCUGGCCUGGUGAGUCCCAGCAGGUGAAGGAGCACAGGGUGUGCAUCACCCAUUUUCCUUGUCUUUCUGUCCUGAUAUGCCCUGCUCAGUAUCCUGCAGAGCUGGAACCUCAGCAGCAGGUGCAGGGACCAGGGCUGGGUGUUUGGGAUCUUGGUGGUAAGGUCUGUGCUUUGCUAAAGGAGGAAAAUACUUUAUAAUUAUGAUAUUGCUUUCAAUAUUGCAUCUACAAGCUUCCUCAGUGCUGGGGCAGCCAGGAGGCCAGGGAUGAGGCAGGCAGCUGGACCUGUGAUCCCACUGUGCUGACCACAGCACCGGGCAUGCCAGAACUGCAAACACACAUGGAUGGCUCCCUGCCCUUUAUUAUUGAGGUUUACCCCACAGCCCCCAGAGGCAGCGCAGCUGCACCAGGGAGGCAGGCAGCAACCUGCCCCUGCGCACCAGGGCCAGCAGUGCAGCGGGGCUGCACCUGGGGACGUCCGUGCUGGCCCUACUGACCUGCCCCGUUAAAUGCUGCUGCAACUUCAGCCUAGUGGCAAUCCACCCUGGAAGUUCAGAUGUGGGCACAGACUGUGUUUUUGUGUUUUAAGCACCAUGGAGUUAAACCUUAAAUCAGCUCCUACUUCAAAGCAUUCCCACUGUAACUAUAAGACCAGAAGGAUGAGGUGGGCACUGGCAAACAUAGAAAGCAUAGGAAUAUUUUUGCAAGAUCUAACAUAUUUAAAUUGUUCUCUCGAGGUGAGUUUAUAAUUUUAUUUUUAUUUUGCAGCUAGGAAAGAGAAGAUUUUCGUCUGACUGCUUUAUUAACAUGGGUCUGAAACCAUUCCUGAACAAAAAGCAAGCAGGCCAUGCCACAACUAAGACCAGCAUACUGAGUUUCCUGGGGUGGAAAAAUCAUGGACAAAUCAGGUGUUGAAAUGAAAGCUGAAUCCGUACCUUAACUGAAACCUUUGCAAAUAAUACAACGAACACAAAGGAGAGAACAAUUUAGAUUUUUGUAAAGAUUUUUUGUACUUAUUUUUUGUGUGGUAUAUUUGAUUUCUCAGAUUUUUUUUUCUUUUUACUCCUGAAAAACAUGGUUGUACUUGCCUAAACAAACUAGUUAGACUUGAGAAAAUAUUCAGAGUAAAAUUUAAAUUUAGUUGAAACUUGCUUGGCUUCAGGUUUCUUUACAGUCUCUAAGCUCAGCCCUGGUUCACU
Molecule: long non-coding RNA, 1549 nt
Organism: Junco hyemalis (dark-eyed junco)
Lineage: Eukaryota; Metazoa; Chordata; Aves; Passeriformes; Passerellidae
Source: Ensembl